UACGGGGGGGGCAAGCGUUGUUCGGAAUUACUGGGCGUAAAGGGCUGGUAGGCGGCCAACUAAGUCGGAUGUGAAAUCCCCAGGCUUAACCUGGGAACUGCAUCCGAUACUGGUCGGCUUGAAUCCGGGAGAGGGAUGCAGAAUUCCAGGUGUAGCGGUGAAAUGCGUAGAUAUCUGGAGGAAUACCGGUGGCGAAGGCGGCAUCCUGGACCGGCAUUGACGCUGAGGCGCGAAAGCCAGGGGAGCGAACGGG
Molecule: ribosomal RNA, 253 nt
Filed under: uncultured bacterium
Lineage: Bacteria
Description: partial 16S ribosomal RNA
Rfam family: Bacterial small subunit ribosomal RNA
Source: RNAcentral